UAAGCAGAUAGUGAAAUCAUGUGGCUCAACCAUUAUGACUAUUAUCUGAACUGGCAAGCUCGAGAAUGGUAGAGGUUAUUGGAAUUCCCUGUGUAGGAGUGAAAUCCGUAGAUAUAGGGAGGAACACCAAUGGCGUAGGCAGAUAACUGGACCAUUUCUGACGCUGAGACACGAAAGCGUGGGGAGCGAACCGGAUUAGAUACCCGGGUAGUCCACGCCGUAAACGAUGGAUGCUA
RNAcentral lists this ribosomal RNA (236 nucleotides) under uncultured Candidatus Saccharibacteria bacterium. Its description in RNAcentral is "partial 16S ribosomal RNA". It matches the Rfam family "Bacterial small subunit ribosomal RNA", at positions 584 to 818 of the family's 1533-position model. The record is from RNAcentral. Lineage: Bacteria; Candidatus Saccharimonadota.